RNAcentral lists this transfer RNA (72 nucleotides) under Camelus ferus (Wild Bactrian camel). It matches the Rfam family "tRNA". Rfam says of the family: Transfer RNA (tRNA) molecules are approximately 80 nucleotides in length. Their secondary structure includes four short double-helical elements and three loops (D, anti-codon, and T loops). Further hydrogen bonds mediate the characteristic L-shaped molecular structure. tRNAs have two regions of fundamental functional importance: the anti-codon, which is responsible for specific mRNA codon recognition, and the 3' end, to which the tRNAs corresponding amino acid is attached (by aminoacyl-tRNA synthetases). tRNAs cope with the degeneracy of the genetic code in two manners: having more than one tRNA (with a specific anti-codon) for a particular amino acid; and 'wobble' base-pairing, i.e. permitting non-standard base-pairing at the 3rd anti-codon position. The record is from Rfam by way of RNAcentral. Lineage: Eukaryota; Metazoa; Chordata; Mammalia; Artiodactyla; Camelidae.
GUGGGUAUAGCUCAGUGGUAGAGUGUGUGCUUAGCAUGCACGAGGUCCUAGGUUCAAUCUCCAGUACCUCCA